GAGAGGCAAGACUAGCAGUGUGUGGCCUAGGAUAGGAGUAGAUAAAAGGCAGCCAUGGUGAGCCAGAACCAUGAGGAGUGGCUGCCUCUUGAAUCCUGUCAGUCUCCAGCAGAUCCGAUUACAUCUGGGACCCUUAAGAGUACUUGAAGCAAACGGCGCUGGUCUAUUUUAAUCCUGCUCCUUCUAGAAACUAGAAACUGUAAGGAGAGUCUUCCUGCUGACAGGUGGCUCCAUGAAAGUCGUCCAUCUGCUGCUAAUUAUGGCAGAAGGAAAAUUCACAGAGCCGAGUUUUCAGUUUAUUUGCUAAAGAUCUCCAAAGGUAUAACUGUCUUCCCAGAUCACAAGGCCAUUCACAGCAUUACAUCUAUAGCGCUUGUUAAUUAUUUAAAUAAUUU
This 395-nucleotide long non-coding RNA is filed under the name Pongo abelii (Sumatran orangutan). Its description in RNAcentral is "lincRNA". Lineage: Eukaryota; Metazoa; Chordata; Mammalia; Primates; Hominidae. The record is from RNAcentral.